GCUCAGUUGGUAGAGCAUGGUGUUUGCAACGCCAGGGGUUGUGGGUUCGAUUCCCAC
This 57-nucleotide transfer RNA is filed under the name Salmo salar (Atlantic salmon). It matches the Rfam family "tRNA", at positions 10 to 63 of the family's 71-position model. Rfam says of the family: Transfer RNA (tRNA) molecules are approximately 80 nucleotides in length. Their secondary structure includes four short double-helical elements and three loops (D, anti-codon, and T loops). Lineage: Eukaryota; Metazoa; Chordata; Actinopteri; Salmoniformes; Salmonidae. The record is from Rfam by way of RNAcentral.